Molecule: ribosomal RNA, 450 nt
Filed under: uncultured bacterium
Lineage: Bacteria
Description: bacterial SSU rRNA
Rfam family: Bacterial small subunit ribosomal RNA
Source: RNAcentral
GUGGGGAAUAUUGGACAAUGGGCGAAAGCCUGAUCCAGCCAUGCCGCGUGUGUGAAGAAGGUCUUCGGAUUGUAAAGCACUUUAAGUUGGGAGGAAGGGCAGUAAGUUAAUACCUUGCUGUUUUGACGUUACCAACAGAAUAAGCACCGGCUAACUUCGUGCCAGCAGCCGCGGCAAUACGAAGGGUGCAAGCGUUAAUCGGAAUUACUGGGCGUAAAGCGCGCGUAGGUGGUUUUGUAAGUUGGAGGUGAAAUCCCCGGGCUCAACCUGGGAAUUGCCUCCAAAACUGCAUGACUAGAGUACGGUAGAGGGUAGUGGAAUUUCCUGUGUAGCGGUGAAAUGCGUAGAUAUAGGAAGGAACACCAGUGGCGAAGGCGACUACCUGGACUGAUACUGACACUGAGGUGCGAAAGCGUGGGGAGCAAACAGGAUUAGAUACCCUUGUAGUCC